Molecule: small RNA, 2734 nt
Filed under: Pan troglodytes (chimpanzee)
Lineage: Eukaryota; Metazoa; Chordata; Mammalia; Primates; Hominidae
Description: retained intron
Source: RNAcentral
GCGUGUUAUGACACAGUGAACAACAUGCUAUGGACAUGCUCAAAUGACUAUAUCGAUCAGUGGUGUAACCCUGGGAAUCAAGCCUUCCAUUAUGUCUGCCAGAGACUUGGAGUCAGUCACAUUAUCACUGAGCCCAAAGAAGAGGCUAUAACCACGAAUGAGGUUAUAAACCAAUUAUUGCACCACGUUGGUGCGAUGUGCAUACACCAACUCAAUCUUCUUGCCACCAACCCCAAUCUUCCAAUCACAAGUGUCUUGGGCAAGCAGCAUCCAAUUGAAGCACAUCAUCUUAGCAGUAUUUGUGACAUUAUGGAGAAGGCCAUGGUUAAUGGAGAUACCUGUAUUAUACGCUGCAUUCUCGUUGUCUUUCAGGUGGUAUUUAAAUUUUUCUUCAGCCCACAAACUGAAAGGAAUCGAGACAUCAUUCGACGGUCGGGAUUGCUUCUUUGGCAGUUGUUGAUGGCUCCAAAAGAUCAAAUUUGCCCUGAAAUUCAGAAGGAAGUCUGCCUUGCCAUCAGCUCUGGUUUAAAUAUUUUGUACCCAGGUGAAACUGAAAUCAAUAACUUACUUAAACUGGUCUUAACAGAAGGAGAGAGAAACAGUGGACUCUCCCAGCUACGGGAUGUGAUCCUAACCAACCUGGCUGAACAGCUCCAAAACAACCGAUUUGGCAGUGAUGAGGAUGAUCAUUACAGACUAAAUGAUGAACUUUUACACUACAUUCUGAAGAUUGUUGUACGAGAAUCCUGUAUCUUAAUCACCAAGUGCCAAACUGUCUCUAAAGAUGAUUUUCAAAAGCUCCUUUCAACUGUGCCUGCUGCAUCCUCCUGCCUGCGCUAUCUGAUGGCAGUUCAGAAUCACCUUCUCAGUAACACUAUUUUGAUUAAACCUGAUGAGAAUGAUGACAGUGACAGCUCCUUGCAGGGAGAGACAUUGAAGGUACAGGAGCUAAAAGUCAGUAUUUUGGCUCUUGCCACCCAAAUCCUGACUGGAUGUGAUGAAGUGUUGGAAAUGCUACAGCAGGUCACAACUGCCCUCAUAAAUAGUGACAUAGCAGACCGUGAGCAGAGGUUAAAAGGCUUGGAACAAGUUACUAAGGCUACUAUGCUUGGUCACCUUCUUCCAGUGUUACUGACCUCCUUGAUGCAUCCAAAUUUACAGACUCUGAUCAUGGCGGAUGCCCUGAUGCCUCAGCUAGUGCAGCUGGUACUCUAUACCAGCCAGACGGCGUUGCUGCUUAAAACCCAGUGUCCGGUUUUUGCUGAGGUGGGCUGUUCCCCGUGUGGUGCACCAGACCAGAAGUGCAGGCUGUUCCCUGAUGAGAGAAUGUUAGAAGAGAAGGAAGAGCCAGGAUUUCUCACUGGUUUAAAGAUUCCUGCCCCAUGGGCUGCUGGAAAGACUGUGGAAACAGUCCACCCCGUCAGAGACAACUAUAAAUUUAAAGAAACGGUCCAUAUCCCAGGAGCUCGCUGCCUGUACCUUAGAUUUGAUAGCAGAUGCUCUUCGCAAUAUGACUAUGACAAAUUGGUGAUAUAUGCGGGGCCUAACACAAACAGUAGGAAGGUUGCUGAAUAUGGAGGCAACACACUGGGAUAUGGCAGCCGUAGUGUCUUAGGAACUGGUUGGCCGAAAGACUUGGUGAAGGUGGAAGGAGAUACAGUCACCUUCUCCUUUGAAAUGAGAAGUGGCCGUGAACACAACACUCCUGAUAAAGCCAUGUGGGGCUUUGCUUGCACAGUUCGCGCUCAGGAGUCUUCGGAGGAUGUCUCAGGAGGCUUGCCCUUUCUGGUAGACCUGGCUUUAGGUCUUUCUGUGUUAGCUUGUUCCAUGUUAAGAAUCCUGUACAAUGGACCAGAAAUUACCAAAGAAGAAGAAGCCUGUCAGGAGCUAUUGCGGUCCAAACUUUUACAAAGGUGCCAGUGGCAGGUGGAGGCCAAUGGCGUGAUCUCCCCUGCCCUUACUCCGAGCCCCUCUCCACUGCCUCUGACCAUAGAGGAAGACAGAGAAUUCACCUACCCCUCUGAUGUCCUCGUGCCUCCUGUUGGAAACUACUUUGAUCUGCCUCGGAUCAGACUGCCUCCAGGAAUCAUGAUAAAGCUCAGGGAAAUUUCUGGGCGUGCUAGACCUCAAUUUAGACCAAGUAUAAAGUAUGUUGCUGUGUAGUGUUUUACUUUUCCCAAUGGGAAAAAAAAGUUUAAACAAUUGAAAUGGGUAUAUUUCUUUUGUGGUCUAGUAAAUGAAACUUUAAUUUUAUGUUUACUCCAUGAAUGUUAAAAUUAACUGAGUCUAGAGGGCCCACCAGGCAGUAUUCCAGACUAGGGGCUCUCAAAAUUUGGCCCACCAGUCAGCAGCAUUGGCAUCACUUGGGAACUUGUUGGUUCUUGGACCCCAUUUUGCACCUAUUGAAUCAGAAGGUCUGAGGAUGGGGCGCAGCUUAACAAGUUUCCCAUUUGACUGAUGCAUGCUAAAGUGUGACAAGUGCUAGGUUUAUCUCUAGUAUUUUGACCUUCUACUAGCAGUCAGCCUCUACUUUACUUUCCAGAGUCUAGAGACAUGUGUUUAUUUUUGAUGCCUAGAGAAAUGGUGAGGAGUUCUCUAAUGUAGAAUGUACAUACAGUUACAAAUGUCUGUGGUAUUCUUGCUUAAAGUCAAGUCUGUUUUGCAGGCCUCUGCUCUGCCUCCUGAGGCAGGAUUUCAGAGAGAAAACUUUAGAGAAUAUAUGAAAUUUAAAAUG